RNAcentral lists this ribosomal RNA (440 nucleotides) under uncultured bacterium. RNAcentral's name for it is "partial 16S ribosomal RNA". It matches the Rfam family "Bacterial small subunit ribosomal RNA", at positions 338 to 795 of the family's 1533-position model. The record is from RNAcentral.
CCUACGGGUGGCAGCAGUAGGGAAUAUUGCUCAAUGGGGGAAACCCUGAAGCAGCAACGCCGCGUGGAGGAUGAAGGUUUUCGGAUUGUAAACUCCUUUUGUUAGAGAAGAUAAUGACGGUAUCUAACGAAUCAGCACCGGCUAACUCCGUGCCAGCAGCCGCGGUCAUACGGAGGGUGCAAGCGUUACUCGGAAUCACUGGGCGUAAAGGGCGCGUAGGCGGGAUAGCAAGUCAGGUGUGAAAUCCUAUGGCUCAACCAUAGAACUGCAUUUGAAACUGUUAUUCUAGAGUAUGGGAGAGGUAGGUGGAAUUCUUGGUGUAGGGGUGAAAUCCGUAGAGAUCAAGAGGAAUACUCAUUGCGAAGGCGACCUGCUAGAACAUAACUGACGCUGAUGCGCGAAAGCGUGGGGAGCAAACAGGAUUAGAUACCCCUGUAGUC